AGAGUUUGAUCCUGGCUCAGGAUGAACGCUAGCGGCAGGCUUAAUACAUGCAAGUCGAGGGGUAACAGAGGUAGCAAUACCUGCUGACGACCGGCAAACGGGUGCGGAACACGUACGCAACCUUCCCAUAACAGGUGAAUAGCCUUUCGAAAGAGAGAUUAAUACACCGUAAUAUAAUGAAGUGGCAUCACUUUAUUAUUAUAGGCUUCGGCCGGUUUUGGAUGGGCGUGCGGCUGAUUAGGUAGUUGGCGGGGUAACGGCCCACCAAGCCUACGAUCAGUAACUGGUGUGAGAGCACGACCAGUCACACGGGCACUGAGACACGGGCCCGACUCCUACGGGAGGCAGCAGUAAGGAAUAUUGGUCAAUGGACGAAAGUCUGAACCAGCCAUGCCGCGUGAAGGAUGAAGGCCCUCUGGGUUGUAAACUUCUUUUAUCUGGGACGAAAAAAGGGUAUUCUUACUCACUUGACGGUACCAGAGGAAUAAGCACCGGCUAACUCCGUGCCAGCAGCCGCGGUAAUACGGAGGGUGCAAGCGUUAUCCGGAUUCACUGGGUUUAAAGGGUGCGUAGGUGGGUCUGUAAGUCAGCGGUGAAAUCUCCGAGCUUAACUCGGAAACUGCCAUUGAUACUAUAGGUCUUGAAUAUCCUGGAGGUGAGCGGAAUAUGUCAUGUAGCGGUGAAAUGCUUAGAUAUGACAUAGAACACCAAUUGCGAAGGCAGCUCACUACGGGAUUAUUAGACACUGAGGCACG
RNAcentral lists this ribosomal RNA (755 nucleotides) under uncultured Bacteroidota bacterium. RNAcentral's name for it is "bacterial SSU rRNA". It matches the Rfam family "Bacterial small subunit ribosomal RNA", at positions 8 to 755 of the family's 1533-position model. The record is from RNAcentral. Lineage: Bacteria; Pseudomonadati; Bacteroidota.